Aedes albopictus (Asian tiger mosquito) is the source of this 68-nucleotide non-coding RNA. Lineage: Eukaryota; Metazoa; Arthropoda; Insecta; Diptera; Culicidae. The record is from Rfam.
UGCCCAGCAACUCCUAUCCCUACCACCACGCGGUACCGGCCGGAAACUAUGAGCAACCUUUGGGAAGA